This 316-nucleotide ribosomal RNA is filed under the name uncultured eukaryote. Its description in RNAcentral is "partial 18S ribosomal RNA". It matches the Rfam family "Eukaryotic small subunit ribosomal RNA", at positions 1470 to 1796 of the family's 1831-position model. The record is from RNAcentral.
CCCUUAGACGUUCUGGGCCGCACGCGUGCUACACUGACCGGCGCAACAAGUUUCUUUCCUUGGCUCGAUAGGCCUGGGUAAUCUUUGAACGCCGGUCGUGAUGGGGAUAGAUCCUUGCAAUUUUUGAUCUUCAACGAGGAAUUCCUAGUAAAUGCGAGUCAUCAUCUCGCGUUGAUUACGUCCCUGCCCUUUGUACACACCGCCCGUCGCACCUACCGAUUGAAUGGUCCGGUGAAGCCUCGGGAUUGCGAAUGCUUCGUGCGGACGCGAGAACUUGGCUAAACCUUACCAUUUAGAGGAAGGUGAAGUCGUAACA